CACUUGCAGGGUUCCUGCUAAGGCAGUGAGUUUGAUGGCAGGUUCUUAAACUUCUUCCUGAGUGAAUCAAUUUUUAGAAGACGCUCUCCUCACCGAAUUGCUUUUGUGAUUUUGCUGUAAGUUAUUUUUUUCUUUAUCUUACAGGGAAGUAGGUCAUUGUUGGAAAAGAGUCAUCUGUAUUUGCAAUCUGGUCAGAACAACUGCUCCCUGACAAAGAGAGAGCUGCCUCCUUUUGUGCCUUUUCAGAAGCUCCCUUCAAGAACUCUGUCACCAGCUUUUACUGCAAGAAAGACUAUCCAAAAUCCUGCUCAGGAUACUUUGUCUCAAACUCACGUUCAUGAAGCUAAUACAGGGAGAUUAUCUGCUUCACCACUCCUGCAGUCUCAUAUGCAUAUGAGCAGUUGCAGCAGGAAGAAGACAUUUCAAAACUCUUUUAAUAAAACCUACUCUAGAGACCUCCUUGACAAACAUUCAGUUUGCUUCACAGAAAAAAAGCAACGUUUUACCCCUCGAAUCUUAAAGACAUCACACCAAUCUGCUCUUGUAAAACAUAGAUACUAUAAUCCUCCUCACAAAAAAAAGAACUUGUCACCUGGCAGACCACCACUGAAAUCAGUGGAUGUCGACAAUGAAAAGAAAGGAGAUUUAYGCAGUUUUUUAGAAGAUGCACUUGUGAGACCACAUUCAGAUCACUUUUGUGAGAAGCCAGUUGAGCAGAACCAUGAAUUAUGGUUUACUGAUUCUGACAUGCCACUUUCUCCGAGAUCACAGCUUCAAGAAAAAGCAGACUAUCUUUGUUUUCUUGAAGAUCUUACAAAUGAUAUUUUGAUUAGAAGUUGUUAUCACAAAGCGU
This 853-nucleotide long non-coding RNA is filed under the name Apteryx rowi (Okarito brown kiwi). RNAcentral describes it as "lncRNA (ENSARWG00000015016.1)". The record is from RNAcentral. Lineage: Eukaryota; Metazoa; Chordata; Aves; Apterygiformes; Apterygidae.